Molecule: long non-coding RNA, 9165 nt
Organism: Equus caballus (horse)
Lineage: Eukaryota; Metazoa; Chordata; Mammalia; Perissodactyla; Equidae
Source: Ensembl
UUUUAAGAUAUCCUUAUUUGCCUUUUUUCUUAUUUAAUCUUUUACUACCUGGAUUGUCAAUUCUAAAUGAUAUCAUUUGAUUCCUUUCUGUUCCCUCUGCAACAAUGACCCUUUUCUGCUUUCUUCUUUCUGACUUCCUUCUCAGCUCAAAUUUUAAUUUGCAUUCUUUCUACUUUGUCAGAACGUAUGACAUUUACAAAUUAUUUUCCACCCUUGUUCCUGAUCCUUGUUUAAAUUUUAGGUCUACACUUAAAUAUACUACAUGCUCACUAUCAUUCAUUUGCCAAAGUUUCUCCAGUCACCUCUUGAUUGGAUAGAAUUCAUCCUCUGUUAGUUACCCAACAAGGGCUCAUGGGUACAGAAUUCUCUCACUCUUUGCAUAUAUGAUUUGUUUUUCUAUAGCCUUGAUAAUUAAAUGAUGACUUGGCUGCAUAUAAAGUCCUUGGUUCAUAAUUUAUUUCUUCCCCUUUGGUUACUUGUAAAUAAUGCUCCAUUUUUGCCUUGCUUUGCAGGUUGCUCUUGAAUAUCCUGAUGCCAAUAUAAUUUUCAAACUCUUGUAGAUAUUGUGCCCGGAGGCCUUGAGUAUUGUUUCUUUGUCUUUAAAGUCUAAUAAUUAUAUAAGCUAUGUCUCUGAGUUGAUCAUCUCAAUUUUCCCAGGCACAUCAUUGUCCCUUACAUAAAUUUAGGUUUUCUUUUAUUUCUAUAAAGUGUUCUUGAAUUCCAUUUAAAAAAUAUUAGUUCUACUCUAUUGUUCCCUCCAAUUUUCAGGGACACCAGUGUUCUUGAACAUGUGAGGAGUGGGAUAUAGCAGAAAAGUGGAGAACUGGCUUUAGAUAGGAGCAGAGAUAGUUCACUUACUAUAAUGGGCAAGAAAGCAGGGUGUGGACCUGGAUGCGGAUGGGUGGGGAUGUGGAGCUGGUGUCUAAGGAAGCUCUCUUCGCAUUGCUUUGGUUUUCCUGGUGGUAAGGAAGCAAGAUCUAAACUAACUCUCUAAUUCCCCCUCCCUGGGAAAAAGGAUGAGGAUGAGUACAUUUGCCAAAUUUAGAUUGGUAGUCUGAAUGUGAAUCAUUUACCAAAAUCUGUGUACAGUGUUCUAGAAGGAGCUCAGAGGACAAUCACUCGUUGGUCGUUCUACCCAGUAGAAGACCCAUAGCUGCUUCCUCCUGGGAUUUGUUCAUGUCCAGAAGGACUGAAAACAGCAUUGAUGGGGGAUAUGAACUGAGGGAGAGGCCAGGCACAUCUCUGCCAGGAAUCUGGAGGAUUGUCUGUGGGAGAUGGUGGAGACCUGCCCUGUGUUGCGUUAGGAGCAGCGAGAGAAAGACACAGGAACAUGGGUUUUGCAUGAGUAUAAGAAAGAACUUUAAAGGCCUGGAUCAGGCUGUUGUGUGAGUAGGGGAUCCUCCCUCCCAGGUAGUAUUCAUUAAGUGGGUGAAUAUCAUGAUGUCAGGGAUGGUGGGUAGGAGAUUCCUGGGUUAGCAGGGUGAUUGACAGAUGGUCUCCAUAGCAACUCUAAGUUGACCAUUACCUUCUCUCUCUGUCCAAACCGCCUCUGUCAACAACUCUUGUCCACUCUACCUUCAGCACAUAUUCAAGACUCAGCCAUUUCUGACUUCCUCCAUCUGAAUUGCCCUCGACCAACACACAGUUUUCUCUCCCCUCAAUUAUUUCAAUAGCCUUCUAGAUGACUUCUCUGCUUUCUCCUUGGCCCUUAUUCCCCUACCUCACCUUAUUCUGGAAAUAAAAGAUUGAUUCUGUUAAAUUAUUAGUCUGAUAAUGUCACUCCUCUGUGUCAAACUCCAUGUGGAUUCCCACGGAUUCUACAAAGUCCUAACAACCGCCUACAAGGUCACACGCGAUCUGCCCCUCCCCUGCCAAGCUCUGACUUCAUAUUGCACUGCACUCCUCUUUGCCCUGCGCUCCCUGAUCACACGGGCCUCAGGGCUGUGCCCCAGACCUGCCAGUCCUGCUCCAUCAGCCCUCAAAGGGCCUCAGCAAUUUCUUCUUCCUGGAAUGCUUCUGCCUCAGAUAUGUAGAGAGCCCACUUUCUUCUACUUUAUUCUCAGAUCUCAUUAUGUAUUCAAAGAGGCUCUGCUUGCCCACUCUUCAUAAAAAAGCACUCCCAUUCUUUUACCUUCUUUUCUUUUUCACAAUGGUACUUGUUGCCUACAUAUUAUGUAUUUAAUUUUUGUUUAUGUUCUGACUGCCUUGUCUGACAGUGGCUUUGUCUGAUUUUUCGUUGCUGAAUUCUCAGUGUCUAGAAGGGCCUAGCACAGAAGGAAUGCUCAAGAAAUAUUUGUUACAUAAAUGAAUACAUGAAUAUGUGUGAUUGUGUCUUCACAGGGAAACAAGACAAUGUGACAAUCAGUCAGGGCUUGUCUCCUUCCUCCUGAAGGGAGCAGAAGGACCAAAGGUUUUGUAUGUUGUUAGGGCUUUAAACUUAUUGUGUUCCAGUUCCAGGUAAGAUGCAGUAAACACACGGCAGCCUCCCUCCCCACUGACAAUAAAACCUGGACACAGUGCGUGGGGCAGCUCUUGGAAGUCUCUGAACAGUAAGUAGCAGCAAGUGGAUGGGGAGUGAGGGAACCAGGAGUCCAAGUGCCACCAAACUGGUGGUGAAUCGAGCAUAUAGUUUCCUUGGGUCUCCCCUGAGUGGAACUCAGCACAGCCUGAAGCCUGGAAGUGAGCACCUGGUGUAGACAGAGGAAGAUGCAGGAGAAAUCCUCAGGGCCUGGUUGGAGCAGUGAAACAGGGGACUCCUCCAAUUCAGAGCAUGGGGAGUAUCCCCUGAUUUUUCCUCUUGCUUUUCUCCACUUGUGUCUCAGCCAUCAGGGAGUUGCAGAAAAUGUGGCUGUGCAUGUGCAAAGGCGGGGGCUGGGCCUCUGAGAAGGGAAGCCUGUAUUCUGGCCUGAGGUGUUCUUUCUUUCCGCUUCCGGGGCCAUAACCCACCAUUGGGCACCUCAGGGCUCCUGGUACCUGUCGUUUGUACCUAUCACUUUUUAAUCUGAAUUGGUGGGUGUGGGGCUGCACAAGCUCAUGAGGACAGAGCAGCUGUCACAUCUGGGACAAUUCAAGAAGCCUGGCUCCAGAGCCCCCCUAUAAAUAUCCUGUGGCUGGACCCUGCCCAACUUUACACCGAGGCCCUGGCCUCCUCAAAUGAGGAGCUGAGCCCAGCCCCUUGACAAAGUGCAGAGGAGGGAGACAGAGAACCCUUGACCUUGUAAAAGCUGUCAUGGUCUGUGGGUCAGCCGUGACUCCCUGGGAAAGGGGAGUGGAAUAAAGCCGGAGCUCAGGGGGAGGGGAGCAAAGGAGGAGCCCCAAGAUCUGGCCUUCCAGAAUGUUCCAAGGGCACUGGAUGGGCUAAGCCAUGGCACCUGUGAGGAAAGACAGGAGUCCAGGAGGUGGGGCCCCUGCACUUGACUGUUCUGAGGCUCCAUGAAGAGGAAGGUUCUUGGCACUGCAGAAAGGGCUUUAUGAUUGGGAAGGGAGAAGUGGUGUUUCCUGACACAGCUCCUGCUAAGUACUUCAUAUGUGCUAUGCCAAUUAAUCCCCACUAAGCCCAUGACGUGGGGUAGGACGCCCAUUUUCUGGAUGAGCAAGCCGAGGCACAGAGAAAUUAAACAAACCCCUGUGUUGAAGGUCACAGUCCUUGUAAGUGACAGGGCUGAGUAAGCCUUCAAUAAACACGUUUGCCUGCAUUGGAACUGAUAUGAAACCCAGAAAAUUCCUUAAUUCCUGAAGUCCUGAAUCCUAACACAUGAGCCAUGAACUGUGGCAGGCAGAGAAGCCAGCAGCAGUGUGAGGGAGAUGUCACAAUCAAAACAACUGACGUUUAGUGACUUGCUGAAUGCAACAUGCUCUGUCCCCUGUCAUGGGAACUGGGAGGACAUAGGCCCAUGCCCCUGAGGUCUUCCCAGGGCUCCCUGAGGAACUGUCUCUGACCGACAAAGGCAUGUGUGUUCUUCACACAUCUCACCUGGUCCCUUUGUCUCUGAGGAGCAUACUGCCAGGCAAGGGUGGAUUGGCCAGAGGCCCGCCCUGUCCGAGGUGGCUCUCACAGCUGGGGGGAUUCAUGGCCCUUCGAGACUCCCCGACCUGCGUGUCUUCUCACUUAUCAGAGAGAGCGACUCAGGCCUUCAGAGGGGAAGAGGUUUGCUUGAGUCUGAGGAGGAAUUAGUUAAGACGGACUGCUGUUUCUGAGGAAGAGGCACUGAGGAACACACUGCAGCUUUGCAGUUGGGGGCUGGUGGGGGAGCCACAGAGUGGGCCAAGGGCGCUGGGCCGGGAGAGCAGGAGGCUCCUUCAGCACCCAAAUUGGGGGGCUGCCCAUCUCUUCGUGAGCGAGGGGUGUGGGGCUUUGUUUUGUGGCCUCAGUUGUUUAAUUUGUAAAAUGGCAAUGGAGAAAAAUGUAGCUCAGGGGGCUGUGUAUUUAUAAACUGAGAAGUACUGGGUAAUUAAACACAUAGCACAUAGAACUCGAGCAAUGGAAGUGUGAAUGGUCUCCAUUAUAGUAAUUAUAGGUACCAUUGUGAUCAGCACAUGUAUUAUUCAUGAUAAUAUUGCAUAGACUGGGUCCUAGGAGCAUUGGGCUGGCAUAGUCAGUUUGGUGGAGGCCAUCCAGUCUGGUCACCCCUAUCUGAUAUUAGAAUUCUCUGGUCAAUAUUUCUGACAAGGAAUACUGAUGCUAUCCUGAGUAGCAAUGGGCAUGUUGAACUUGCCCAUUCAUCACUUGCCCUGGAGAAGUCAUCCAGGGACUGGAAGAGGGGGUCCCUCUGCCCACCCACCUCCAGGCAGCCCCAGCCGACCAGAUCCAUCUUGUCCUGGAUCCCUGAGCACAGGCAGAUUUGGCAUCCAGGAUGGGCAGUGGUCACCAUCUGAAUAGGAAAAUGGGCUCUGGGUGAAGCUUGGACUGGAGAACUUCCCGCAGUGCCUGCUGUCCUUUCAGCACCGAGGGGAGGAAAGAAAGGCAGGCGGGCACAGGGCCAUGGUCCCAGUAUCUGUUAGAUGGCCCCAAAGAGCUCCUAAUAUCACUCCAGAGAUGCACGUCACAGCGUGGAUCCUGAUUCCCUGGGACUCACAUUCCCUGCCCCUCCCCAAAUGAGGGCAGCACUGUCCACAUUCAUCUGCUACCUGGGAGGCGUCCUUUCACACAGUUGUUCUUAGCACACUCACCAAGCAGCCACACCAGGGAACAACACUGCCCCACCUGCCCCCGCCUUGCCCAAGUCCUGGACGUAUGGAGAGCCCCUCCCUUCCUGCUAACAGAACCCCCGCCACAAAAUGUAAUGUCACCAGGAAGGUGAUCCCACCCUUCACGUGGCUAUCACUCUGCUCUAGGGCCAGUGAAGCCAUAGGAGACGGUCAGUGCUCGAGGGGGAGGUGGGAAGCCCCCAGGCAGCACGGACCAGGCCUUCCUCCCUUACUUCUCAUCUUUCUGCUCUCCCAAACCCAGUCCACCUGCUGGAGUGGAAAGUUAAACAGACUCUUGUCUUAACUUCCUCACCCCAAGCACAACUUCAAGCACUAAGGAAGAAGACAGAAAAACUCUCUUAAGGAAUCUGUUCACCCAGCCUGAUGCAGGCUCUGUUGGGGCCUGUGUGCUGGCCCAGCCCCUCAGCAGAGGGUGAAGCAGAUGUUCUGGGAUCAGCUUCAAGGCAGGCCUCGGGCGCACUGGGACACUUGGCUGGGGAGCAGGGACCUGCCCACGUGUGAAGAUAUGCGUGGAGGGGCGCAGCUGGCUGUGGGGUAGGGAAGGGAAGAAGUGGAGCAAGGGUGAUGGGAGGAGGCCCAUUUCUCCUCAUGCCAGGAUUCCAGCUCACAUCCCAGCCCCGCAUCUGAGCAAUCCUGAGAACGCCACCUGAGAGAGGAGGAGCCGGGGCUGCUCUCUGCCCUUCUCAUGCUCCCUUGUCGCUCAAGUUGGGGAUGGGACACUCUGGGGUGAUGGAGGGCCCCAGGUCCUAUGAGCAGGUCCUUUUCCAGGAAACCAGAGCUCAGAGGGUGCAGGUGGAAGGAGCUGGGAAGGGUCGGUGGUGGCUCCCCAGGAUUGGAAGAAGUGGCUUUCCCACAUUUUUCUCGGUGUGGGUGGUGAGUCUUCUGCUGGGUUCCUGCUGGACUGUCAAUCACGGGCUUUGAUUCCUGUGAGAGAAAAAGACUAUCAGGGGACACCUGGAGGACACCUGGCAGGAAGAGACCACGGACGCAGUCUCAGUGACACGCACAGCCAUCUCCCUGUCCCCAACUAGGCCAUCACACAGACUGGCGCUGUCGCACAGAAACACGGGGGGAAUAAGGCAUUGCUAUUUUGGUCAUCGUUAUGGAGAGGAAACUGCAGCCCAGAGAGGUUUGGGCAUUUUGUCCAGGUCACCCAGAGCUGAGACGGAAGAACUUCUUACAAAUGAGAUCUUCUGACCCAGGUCUGGACUUCCGUCCACCGCAGCCCUUCACCAGUCACGGCCACAGGAGGGGAGGUAGGAAACGGCACCGAGAAAGCAGCCCGUGAGGAAAGUGCCCGCACACCCUGAGGAGAGACAGGCCUGGGAGAGGCACACGGCCCGCUGGGCAUCCCAGAGCGGGCUGGGGGUGGCUCCGCCGGCAGCACUGGGCCUCACAGUCCCCACUCUUGCAUGGCACUCAGGCCAUUGUCCUCCGUGGGAUGGGGGGUGGACUCCUUCCAGGAGGAGAGGGGAGACACACGAGGGUGAGGCCCAGGAAGGGUGAGGGGGCUCGAGAGGGGCUUCAGGAGGCUUCUGCCACUGCCCACUCCCUGCCUGGGGGACACCUAAGGGGGGCUCCCUAGGUCUCCUUAGGAGCCUAAGCGGAGAGGCUCCUGACCAGCCCCCCAUCCUGGGGGAGCCACUGGGGAUACGGGGAGGGUACCCCUGUUCCAAUAGCCAUUGGUCUGCUGAAUCCUGGCCCAUGAGGGCAGCUGGUGCCAGCGUGUGGGGGUGGCUGGGGGUGUGGCAGGGGUUCCACUGGAGGCUGCUGUGGAGAAGGCAGCCUUGAGUGAUUCAAGCAGGUAGGAGGCAAUAACAACAAAUUUUGGCCAUACUACUUGCCAUAGGAAAUGCCAGCUGAUGUUGUCUGAAUAGAGUCAGGAGAAGAGAGAAAGGACAGAUGGAAUGUUCUCGUACCUUCUUUGUUGUUUUGGUUGAUCCACUGUGCUGAGCGCUUUACUGUCGUUUCUCAUUUCAUCCUCACAGCCACUCUGAGGAGGGCGCUGUUGUCCCAUUUCACAGAAGAGAUCCCUGGGCAGGUGGGGCGGGGACAGGAUGAUUAGGGAUGACACUCUGAUAAGGAGAAUCUCAGGCCACAAGAGUGGGCCCCUUCCAGACCGUCCCUCGGCCCAGCUUCCCACUUCCAGCCAAGGCCUCAUGGCUUCCCGAGAGCCCAAGGGAAUAUCACCCAGGGGUAGGGACACCGGGGGCUCCAGAGGCUAGACUGACCAGGAGGACGAGCGCGUGGAGCGUGGUGGCCCCUCAGCAGGGAGGAGCUCAGAGGCGCGCACCUGGGCUUGCUGUAUGGCAGUCUGGGCUGCGCAUGCCCUCUGCUGCGGAGCGUUCUGCCCAGCCCUACCCACCAUUCGUAGCUCUGGGGGUCUUUCACGCAGAAGCACAGGCUUUGAGGAUCUGCCAGGCCAGAGAGGCCUCAUCCUGCCCCACUCCACUAGUGGCACUUCUAGAAGAUGCUCCCGGCUACAGCUCAGGCCUCCCCUCUAGGAAGACAUUGUAUUUAAUUUCUUGGUCUUUAACCUGGUCGGGGGUUAGGUAUUCUGCUCCUCCUACUAUGUGAAUCCCCACUCCUCACUCACUCCACCCACACACAUCCCCACACCGCCCCGCCGCACCCCCCCCGCCGCCACGAGGGCUCAGAGCAGCAUUGAAUUGAUAAGGCCCGUGUGCUACAGAACAAGGGUCACAUCUGCUAGCGUUGGCUAUACUCGGCUACCACAGGCCACGCAUGGGGCGUGAUCCUGCAUUUCCCAAACACCUGUGCCCAGAACAGCAUGCCCAGCUCGGUAAGCCAUGGCUCAGAACAUGCAUAAGCGUAGGUCCCUGCUGCCCGUCUUCCUCCAGGUCCUUGUCAGGCCCAAGAUGGCAUCCCCUUGCCCCUGAUCGGUGCUGAGCUGGGGGUGGAAGGCAGGGGCUAGGGAGCCCCUCUACCCUAUCUGAUCCCAGACCCGCCUCCUCAGUGCCCCAUGCCUGGCCUGGCUAUAUUUAGCAAGCUCAAUUCAGUAACUAGAGCCGCUGGGCCACCCCAGCCCCCUCCCCUUCUGAGGACCCUGCAGGGGCCGGUUUCUCACAUGUUUUAAUCAAGUCUUCCACUUCUCCAGGCAACAGACACAAAAGGCCUGGACCAGGUGGUGGAGUUGCUCUGGCUCCUACACAGAGAUUCUAUUUUCUGUUCUGCCUUCUUUCAGGCCGGGCUUUGUUGUGGUAUGUUGCUGGAAAAAAGACACACUGUUCAAGCAAAGGGCAGACCCUGAGCAACUCAGAUCUCUAUCCGAGCGAGCUGCCCGUCCUUCCUGGCGUCUGACUGCUGCUCCCCACGGGGGCCACUUCAGGGCGAAGCAUAGAGGAAGCUUAAUAAUCUGGGAAAAAUGGAAGAUCUGCCUGCUGCCUGGAAGGGAGUGGGGAAGGGAGGCAGCCGUGGGAGAGCAGAAGGGGGUGAUGGUGAUGGGCAUUCUCCUGGAACUCAUUCAUGAGCUUGCAUUCUAGAAUGAAUUAUUCAUCCGAGGACAUCCAGGGGACCAUGUUGUUUGCUUUCUGCUUGUCUGCAGGAAGGGGAUGGUGGCCCUAAGCGUUGUGCGUUCCCGUGCUCGGAAGAGUGGCUUGACCCCCCCCUGGUGAAUGUGUGGCACCUCCCGGGCCUUGCCUCUGGGCUCACCGCCCCGCACCUCCGAACUCUGCGUGGGGAAGGGUCCCUUCCCUCCCCAGCCUCCUUCCACAAGCUGGCGCAGGGGCCAGCGAGGAGCCUCUGGAAAGCUCUCCUUCAUCAUUUAUUAACAGUCCCUGCCCUCGUCCCUGAAAUAAUCAGGGUCCGGAUAGUUUCACAUCAUGCAGUUAAUUGCCAUCUGCACUGCUUAACAAGUCAGGGCACUGGUGGUGAUCUGGAGGCCCAUGGAGGAUGGUGGAUGGGAAGUGAGUCAAGGUGUUGGCUGCCACAGCCUGG